This 754-nucleotide ribosomal RNA is filed under the name uncultured archaeon. Its description in RNAcentral is "bacterial SSU rRNA". It matches the Rfam family "Archaeal small subunit ribosomal RNA", at positions 102 to 859 of the family's 1478-position model. The record is from RNAcentral.
AGUCAACAUGCCCAGGGGACGUGGAUAACCUCGGGAAACUGAGGAUAAACCACGAUAGGUCAUAAUAUCUGGAAUGAUUCAUGGCUAAAAUCUACAUGGCCCCUGGAUUGGACUGCGGCCGAUCAGGCUGUUGGUGAGGUAAUGGCCCACCAAACCUAAAACCGGUACGGGCUCUGAGAGGAGAAGCCCGGAGAUGGGCACUGAGACAAGGGCCCAGGCCCUAUGGGGCGCAGCAGGCGCGAAAACUCUGCAAUAAGCGAAAGCUUGACAGGGUUAUUCUGAGUGAUUUCCGCUAAGGAAAUCUUUUGGCACCUCUAAAAAUGGUGCAGAAUAAGGGGUGGGCAAGCCUGGUGUCAGCCGCCGCGGUAAUACCAGCACCCCGAGUGGUCGGGACGAUUAUUGGGCCUAAAGCAUCCGUAGCCGGUUCUACAAGUCUUCCGUUAAAUCCAUCUGCUUAACAGAUGGGCUGCGGAGGAUACUAUGGAGCUAGGAGGCGGGAGAGGCAAGCGGUACUUAGUGGGUAGGGGUAAAAUCCGUUGAUCCACUGAAGACCACCAGUGGCGAAGGCGGCUUGCCAGAACGCGCUCGACGGUGAGGGAUGAAAGCUGGGGGAGCAAACCGGAUUAGAUACCCGGGUAGUCCCAGCUGUAAACGAUGCAGACUCGGUGAUGAAUAGGCUUCGUGCCUUUUCAGUGCCGCAGGGAAGCCGUUAAGUCUGCCGCCUGGGGAGUACGGUCGCAAGACUGAAACUUAA